Malurus melanocephalus (red-backed fairy wren) is the source of this 433-nucleotide long non-coding RNA. RefSeq lists it as uncharacterized. NCBI's taxonomy places the organism in Eukaryota, Metazoa, Chordata, Aves, Passeriformes, Maluridae. The record is from RefSeq and is a predicted model, not a curated record. The transcript is spliced from 3 exons.
GCCCCACCCAGAGAGGARGAACUGGACAUCCCUACCAGCAUAUAAACUGGGGCUCUGGAACACUGGGACACUUCUUCCACUGGGUUCCCAGAGGAGAGGAGCUUGAGAACCACUACUGGACCUUCAGAGACGGACUCGACCUGUCUUCAGGAUCACUGCAGCAACGAGAGCACAUCCAUCAUUCCAACGGCACUGCAGGCACCACUCUGCCCAACAGUGUGUCAGCAUUUCCCAUUGCCAGCCAUUGGCUGGAUAGAGAAGGAGGCUGCGAAGAAGAGGAGGAUGCCCCAGGACCCCCAGGCAGGCAAUGAGCUGAGGAUGGAGACCAAGGAGGACAAAUCCCCCCAGCAGAACAUCAUGGAAGAGGCCGUUUUGUGCAGCUCCAGAGUACAGGAAUCCAAUGAGAAGGAAAAGCCACAGAGAUCUUGCGCAA